RNAcentral lists this microRNA (21 nucleotides) under Picea abies (Norway spruce). RNAcentral's name for it is "pab-miR156m". Its record names the gene pab-miR156m. The record is from miRBase by way of RNAcentral. Lineage: Eukaryota; Viridiplantae; Streptophyta; Pinopsida; Pinales; Pinaceae. RNAcentral also lists the same sequence under 4 other names.
UUGACAGAAGAUAGAGGGCAC